Molecule: long non-coding RNA, 4162 nt
Organism: Oncorhynchus tshawytscha (Chinook salmon)
Lineage: Eukaryota; Metazoa; Chordata; Actinopteri; Salmoniformes; Salmonidae
Exons: 2
Source: RefSeq, a predicted model, not a curated record
CCUGCGACAGACAAGGUGAUUACUGUUUUUGAAGACAUGUUGGAUAAAUGGAAAAAAAAAUAAGAUCUGGGAAUCGUCUAAGCUGCUUUAAGAAGUGGCUGUGAAAGUUAAAAUGUUGGCAUCUGGCAGUGACCUUGCGUUGGAGCACCUGGAUGCUGAAGACUCCUGUUCCAGAGAACCUGAACAUACAGUUUAUUGCAAGGCAUUGGUGGAAAAUCUUGACACUCUGUCAAGUGCCAAGUUCAACACAAAAGUUUCAAAGGCUGUGGCCGAGAUGGUAGCGAGAAGGUUUUGUAGCGUUACCUCUGUUUUGGUUCAGACUUCCCAUUCAUUUAGUGGCACUCCCAGCUUAAUGAAUACGUCUGGCCCAUCUGACAGGAUCCUUGAUUUCCGUGGCCAUUGGGCUCAUACAGACAGAUGUGGAUUUGGAGGGGUCGAAAAGAAUUGACGACUUUGUUGUUGAUGUCAAAGAUCUUGUGAAGGAAGCUGAAUUAGAUAAGCCAACAAGCACCCAGAGAGAUCCCCAAAUGGCACGUUGCAUGUCAAAGCAAAGAACUAUUUCAAACUAGAAAAACAAGCCAAAGCAACAAUGGCUCAAGGCAAAGCAAUCCUCAGCCAUAUUCUGAUUUCCAAAAGAAAAAUGUUGACCAAACGGUGACUGCAGGAGAGCUUUCACAAAUAGGGAAUGUGGUUGGAAUUAUGCUGGAGGACAUUGAGAAGGUAAGCAGUGGAUGUGGUGAGGACCUGAAAUCCAUUUCUCUUUUCCAAGGUCAUCAGCCAAAUUAUGGAAAAGAGUGAAUUUGCUCUCCCUGGCACUCCCAUCCCUUCUGAAUAACCAGAGAGGACUGCUCCACCCAUUGUGAGAUGUCCAGUCAUCGACAUGAGCGGAUCCACUAAGCCAGAAACAUUGGUGUGUGAUGCCAGGAAAUCCAUGUCUGCUAUAACAUAUACCAUGAUAAAGGAGGAAUAUCCAGAGGGAGAAGGGCAGGUUACUGUGAUCUGACAGCUUGGCUAGCUAGACUGGAGGAGGUCAUAUAUCAGAGUAGGAUUGGUGCUCUCUCCCAUGAUCUUACUCACCAAGUCAACGUCAUCGGUGACAGUGGCGGCUGGAACGAUUGCAUCCGAUACAGUUCUUACUAAGCUGAAGAGAAAGGACAAGAAGGUUGGGAAUCCAACAGCUUAUGAGCUUGUUCAGCUGUUUGCAGAGGAGUCAGUGAAGCGUCUCCUCCAUCCUAGUCUUGUGCUUUCUUUAGCAUCAAUGAGUUUGGCUCAGGGAGUCAGUGUGUCGGCUAGCACGUCCGAAGAUAGAAGCAGGAAAUCCUCUUCUUCAUCAGUAUUCAGUGAGUGGCACAGUCAGUCUGUUUAACAAAGUUAUGGUAAGCUAGGUCAUGGACUUUCUGAUGCCCAAAGCAGAGUGUCAUCUUCAACCGAGGGACCAGAAUCCCUCCAAGUAUCUUUGUCCACUGUCACUGACCUAGGCAGUUUAAUGAGUGGCAAGUCCUCCCCCUCGGCCAUCUCUCUCCUGUGUCGGUGUGGCAAUAAGUGAGCCCUCGAAAGUAGUCCGAGGCUUUGAAGCCAACAUGGAUGGAGAGAAAGAAGAUAACACACUGGUGUAGCUCAGAAAAUCGUCAGUGAUCAGAUGUCGAUGGUCCCAGAUGUGGUCAAAUAUGCCUCGCCGCCAUCCCAAUCCUCUGACAACUCAGCCAUUGAUGAUGCCUUUUACCGGCCUCGUCAACACGCUAGGGGUGAGGCUUCUGUACAAAAUCCAAAACCCCAGUUGAUGUCGCACGCACAUCACAAGACCUGAUCCCGAUGGUAAUGGCUGUCUUCUGUGCAAUGUCAGGCUCCUCUGAGACCCAAGCUUAUCCAGAGAGCCUGAGGAUUCAUAAAGAGUACAAACAUCUGUUGGAGGAGUUUAGCUCAGAGAAAAUCCUCCAACUGGCUGUGUCGACACACGACCAUACCUUUGAUAGGAUUCUUGUCAAGUCCUUAAUGUAAUAAGGCCCGCCUCAAGAAUAUUGUUUGAAGCCACCAGAUCUAAAGUGCUUCCUCUGGCUGAGGAUGCGAAGGCUAGCAAAGUGAAGUUCUCCUUCCUACAACGGCUUGUCAAAAUUGUGAGUAAAUAACUCAAUUGCGAGUGUCCCAAAUCUAAAACCAUCCAUUAAUUUAGGAAUCUUUCUGGUGUGUUAGAUUUGGUUAUUAUUGUUAUGUUGUUUUUUCUCUUCCAACACUUAAUCCUCAAAGAAGAGGAACAAUAAGGAUUCACACCUCUCAGAGUCCGAAGACCAGACUACUGCUGAGAGUAGCCUUGUGCCCAGCAUAGUUCCACAUGCUGCCACAUCUGCACUUCCAGAGGAUCUUCCCUCCACGUCUCAACAGGAGAAAGCAAGCAUACCCUUGUCAAGAUGUUUUCGGCGAUCUCCAAAAGGCCUGUCCAGGCCCUUCAAGCGCUUCUCAAAGAGAAAAUAAACCAACCAACUUAUUGGCUAAUUGAUUAAAUAUCAUUGCAUGAAUUGAUGGCCUUUCUGACUUCUUGUGGGGGUCAUGUGUUAAAUCAGAUUAGAAAAUAACUUUUUUUAAAUGUUAGUCUAGUAAUUAGUGAUUACCACUUAACAGGGAUUAAUGCAGGUUGAGGACAAGCGUGGAGUGCCACACUAAGUUUAAUCAUAACAUAGUCAUAGCCAUAACUAUAUCACCAUCUACACAACCAGACCAUUACUAAACAGAGUAGUGCUGUCCAUGAGUGUUGAUUCUAGAUGACACACACACAUACGGAGGCAGGUAGCCUAGCGGUUACGCGUGUUGGGCCAGUAACCAAAAGGUUGCUGGUUUGAAUCCCAGAGCAGACUAGGUGACAAAUAAGCCAAUGUGCCCUUGAGCAAGGCAUUUAACCGUAAUUUCUCUUGUAAGUCGCUCUCAAUAAGUGGGUCUGCUAAACUGUAACGCACACAUUAAAUACUUUAUUUGAAUCCACCAAUCGAAUGUACAUUUAAAAAAAGCAUACAAACAUUUCAAAGGUGCCUGUAUGCAAGUCACUGAAGGGUACAGGGGGCACAGAAAUAAUCUCCUUCUUCUGCCUACGACAGCUGAAACAGAGGAGUACCCAGCCGCCAACAGCUUUGGCUAGUUUUUGCCAGGCCCACAAGCCUGUGCACGUGGCAGAGACCGCCAAAUAUCAGUGCCACCAGCUUGCACCUCCACCCAGGCUGUCCAAGCACGAGGGGCUGGUAUUUAAGAAACUAGCCAUCAAAUGAGCAGCCCACUUCCAAAAUGAGCUGUCGUUGUGAGGAACUAUGGUUUUAUCAGACAUUUGUUCUGUUUUGUCCUGUGAUGUGAGUGAUCUGUUUUCUCUCACACACACACACACACACACUAAAUACUUCAGAUACUUCCUACCUCAGUCUAAAAUAACUGAUGCAAUAUUAACUACAGGCCUACUUAGUUCAUAUGUAAUGCAUUAAUAAAGGAUGCAGGACACUCAGUGACAAGGAAAUCAACAGUUUAUUUUGUUUUUUAAUCAUUGUAGAGAAUUUGGUGCCAUAAUACAUAUCAUACCUGUAUAUAUCCAGUAGGGGGCAACAUAUACAGUACACACGACACAGGACCACUACAUUCUAUCAUCAGCCACUCAUAGGAAUAUAGUUCUAUUUAAGAUUUUUCAAGGGGUGCUGUGGCACCCUCAGCAUCCCUACUUCCCUCAGUUAUGGACAUAGGACCAAAUGAUAAUGUACUACCAAAACUAUAAAUGCGAUUGAACAUACUCGGGCUUAGGGCUAUCAAAAACCAUGAAGACAUAACGGAUAUAGGCCUACAUGAUAUAAUUGCCCAAAUUGUAGUGGGUAGAGAAUGAUAGAGCAACCAAUGAUGACCUGUGACGGAGGCAUCAUUGACGAUAUGCUGGCGCCAAAACACAUCGUGAGAUUCAAUCACGAUGUAUGCCGUUGUCCGGAUGGAGGGCGUAUGUUUUCACAUUUUAGGGGCGAGGCACUCCCACACUUGCAUCUUCCCUCCGGAACGACAUCUCUCACGUUGCGCAGAAUAGUUCCUGGCGCCAUCAGAGGUGUGAAGACUGAUCAAACUUGAGUUGACAUAUGAAAUGUAACUGUAUGAAUUGAAUUGUGAGGUUUGUAAUCUCAUUAGCGAAUAAAGAGCUGAACAUUUU